UUUCGCAAUGCCCGAAAGGGUGACGAAGCGACACCGCGUGGGUGAGGAAGGCCUUCGGGUUGUAAAGCCCUGUCAGGAGUUAAGAAAUGUAGAUUCGCUAAUAUCGUAUCUAUUUGACGAAGGCUCCAAAGGAAGCCACGGCUAACUCUGUGCCAGCAGCCGCGGUAAUACAGAGGUGGCAAGCGUUGUUCGGAAUUAUUGGGCGUAAAGAGCGCGUAGGUGGAUUUGUAAGUCAGAUGUGAAAGCCUUCUGUUCAACGGAAGAAUUGCAUCUGAGACUACAGACCUUGAGUAUAGGAGGGGAGAAUGGAACUUCUGGUGGAGCGGUGAAAUGCGUAGAUAUCAGAAGGAACGCCGGCGGCGAAAGCGAUUCUCUGGCCUAUUACUGACACUCAGUGCGCGAAAGCUAGGGGAGCAAACGGGAUUAGAUACCCCGGUAGUCCUAGCCGUAAACGAUGGGCACUAAGUAGAGGGGUUUU
This 478-nucleotide ribosomal RNA is filed under the name uncultured bacterium. RNAcentral describes it as "bacterial SSU rRNA". It matches the Rfam family "Bacterial small subunit ribosomal RNA", at positions 364 to 832 of the family's 1533-position model. The record is from RNAcentral.